RNAcentral lists this ribosomal RNA (1352 nucleotides) under uncultured bacterium. RNAcentral's name for it is "bacterial SSU rRNA". It matches the Rfam family "Bacterial small subunit ribosomal RNA", at positions 28 to 1382 of the family's 1533-position model. The record is from RNAcentral.
GAUGAACGCUGACGGCGUGCUUAACACAUGCAAGUCGAACGGGAUCCAUCAGGCUUUGCUUGGUGGUGAGAGUGGCGAACGGGUGAGUAAUGCGUGACCGACCUGCCCCAUACACCGGAAUAGCUCCUGGAAACGGGUGGUAAUGCCGGAUGCUCCGACUCCUCGCAUGGGGUGUCGGGAAAGAUUUCAUCGGUAUGGGAUGGGGUCGCGUCCUAUCGGGUAGUCGGCGGGGUAACGGCCCACCGAGCCUACGACGGGUAGCCGGCCUGAGAGGGCGACCGGCCACAUUGGGACUGAGAUACGGCCCAGACUCCUACGGGAGGCAGCAGUGGGGAAUAUUGCACAAUGGGCGCAAGCCUGAUGCAGCGACGCCGCGUGCGGGAUGACGGCCUUCGGGUUGUAAACCGCUUUUGAUCGGGAGCAAGCCUUCGGGUGAGUGUACCUUUCGAAUAAGCACCGGCUAACUACGUGCCAGCAGCCGCGGUAAUACGUAGGGUGCAAGCGUUAUCCGGAAUUAUUGGGCGUAAAGGGCUCGUAGGCGGUUCGUCGCGUCCGGUGUGAAAGUCCAUCGCUUAACGGUGGAUCUGCGCCGGGUACGGGCGGGCUGGAGUGCGGUAGGGGAGACUGGAAUUCCCGGUGUAACGGUGGAAUGUGUAGAUAUCGGGAAGAACACCAAUGGCGAAGGCAGGUCUCUGGGCCGUUACUGACGCUGAGGAGCGAAAGCGUGGGGAGCGAACAGGAUUAGAUACCCUGGUAGUCCACGCCGUAAACGGUGGAUGCUGGAUGUGGGGCCCGUUCCACGGGUUCCGUGUCGGAGCUAACGCGUUAAGCAUCCCGCCUGGGGAGUACGGCCGCAAGGCUAAAACUCAAAGAAAUUGACGGGGGCCCGCACAAGCGGCGGAGCAUGCGGAUUAAUUCGAUGCAACGCGAAGAACCUUACCUGGGCUUGACAUGUUCCCGACAGCCGUAGAGAUAUGGCCUCCCUUCGGGGCGGGUUCACAGGUGGUGCAUGGUCGUCGUCAGCUCGUGUCGUGAGAUGUUGGGUUAAGUCCCGCAACGAGCGCAACCCUCGCCCUGUGUUGCCAGCACGUCAUGGUGGGAACUCACGGGGGACCGCCGGGGUCAACUCGGAGGAAGGUGGGGAUGACGUCAGAUCAUCAUGCCCCUUACGUCCAGGGCUUCACGCAUGCUACAAUGGCCGGUACAACGGGAUGCGACACGGCGACGUGGAGCGGAUCCCUGAAAACCGGUCUCAGUUCGGAUUGGAGUCUGCAAACCCGACUCCAUGAAGGCGGAGUCGCUAGUAAUCGCGGAAUCAGCAAACGCCGCGGUGAAAUGCGUUCCCGGGCCCU